This 426-nucleotide ribosomal RNA is filed under the name uncultured Methanomicrobiales archaeon. RNAcentral's name for it is "bacterial SSU rRNA". It matches the Rfam family "Archaeal small subunit ribosomal RNA", at positions 913 to 1338 of the family's 1478-position model. The record is from RNAcentral. Lineage: Archaea; Methanobacteriati; Methanobacteriota; Methanomicrobia; Methanomicrobiales.
CAACGCCGGGAAACUCACCAGAUAAGACAGCUGAAUAAUAGUCGGGCUGAAGACUCUACUUGACUAGCUGAGAGGAGGUGCAUGGCCGUCGUCAGUUCGUACUGUGAAGCAUCCUGUUGAGUCAGGCAACGAGCGAGACCCACGCCAACAGUUGCCAGCUCGUCCUCCGGGAUGGAGGGGACACUGUUGGGACCGCCUCUGCUAAAGAGGAGGAAGGAAUGGGCAACGGUAGGUCAGCAUGCCCCGAAUUAUCUGGGCUACACGCGGGCUACAAUGGGUGGGACAAUGGGUAUCGACACCGAAAGGUGAAGGCAAUCUCCUAAACCCAUCCUUAGUUCGGAUUGUGGGCUGCAACUCGCCCACAUGAAGCUGGAAUCUGUAGUAAUCGUGUCCCAAAAUGGCACGGUGAAUAUGUCCCUGCUCCUU